AUUGAACGCUGGCGGCAUGCCUUACGCAUGCAAGUCGAACGGUAACAGGUCUUCGGAUGCUGACGAGUGGCGAACGGGUGAGUAAUACAUCGGAACGUGCCUAGUAGUGGGGGAUAACUACUCGGAAGAGUGGCUAAUACCGCAUGAGAUCUACGGAUGAAAGCAGGGGAUCGCAAGACAUUGUGCUACUAAAGCGGCCGAUGUCAGAUUAGGUAGUUGGUGGGAUAAAAGCUUACCAAGCCGACGAUCUGUAGCUGGUCUGAGAGGACGAUCAGCCACACUGGGACUGAGACACGGCCCAGACUCCCACGGGAGGCAGCAGUGGGGAAUUUUGGACAAUGGGCGAAAGCCUGAUCCAGCAAUGCCGCGUGCAGGAUGAAGGCCUUCGGGUUGUAAACUGCUUUUGUACGGAACGAAAAGCCCCGGGUUAAUACCCUGGGGUCAUGACGGUACCGUAAGAAUAAGCACCGGCUAACUACGUGCCAGCCGCCGCCGUAA
This 498-nucleotide ribosomal RNA is filed under the name uncultured bacterium. RNAcentral's name for it is "partial 16S ribosomal RNA". It matches the Rfam family "Bacterial small subunit ribosomal RNA", at positions 30 to 523 of the family's 1533-position model. The record is from RNAcentral.